Molecule: long non-coding RNA, 627 nt
Organism: Magnolia sinica
Lineage: Eukaryota; Viridiplantae; Streptophyta; Magnoliopsida; Magnoliales; Magnoliaceae
Exons: 4
Source: RefSeq, a predicted model, not a curated record
CUCUCGGCGCAUCGUCUCCAGCACCAUCUCCAGAUCUGGUGCGGCCAGCAGCCCCCACCCUUCACCUCUUCCCUAACCAGGUUUUUAUAUACAGAGAUUGGACGUCUUUAGAACAUUCACAAUAGCCAUAGAUGCAGUGGAUACGAACAAUUGCAAGUCGAUGAUUCUACAAGCUUGUUUUUUCUCUCAGGGACAGAUUUUCCUGGCCAAGGAAAAUGCAAAAUGAGACCGGGCUGGAAAUUGCAUCUAUAUAUCACACAGAUGCCAUGUGGGGAUGCAUCAAUGACUUCACCAUUGUCAUCAUUGACUGAUGAGCCCCAACCAAAAGAGAAUUUGCUGUCUAUACUCAAAGCCCCAGGUUCUAUGGGAUGAUGAUUUAGAUGAAUCGAUUUACACUCCAGGUUUGUUGGUUUGAGCUAAUCCCUUUUUUUCUUUUACUUUCUCCAUAAUCUUUCAAAAAGGGACAAAAUCUUCAUAAUUCAUUAAUUCUUUUUUCCAUAUAGAUUGCUGAUGUGUUGUUGGGAGCACUUCAUCUCAAAAUUACAAAAGAUUAUAGUUCUAUUUUAUUUUUUCCUCCGAUGAAUCUGUUUUGGAGCAGUUCCAUACUUUGUUUCAUUUAUUUUUCAA